UACGGAGGAUCCGAGCGUUAUCCGGAUUUAUUGGGUUUAAAGGGAGCGUAGGUGGAUUGUUAAGUCAGUUGUGAAAGUUUGCGGCUCAACCGUAAAAUUGCAGUUGAAACUGGCAGUCUUGAGUACAGUAGAGGUGGGCGGAAUUCGUGGUGUAGCGGUGAAAUGCUUAGAUAUCACGAAGAACUCCGAUUGCGAAGGCAGCUUUCCAAGCUAUUACUGACGCUGAGGCACGAAAGCGUGGGGAGCGAACAGG
Molecule: ribosomal RNA, 253 nt
Filed under: uncultured Bacteroides sp.
Lineage: Bacteria; Pseudomonadati; Bacteroidota; Bacteroidia; Bacteroidales; Bacteroidaceae
Description: partial 16S ribosomal RNA
Rfam family: Bacterial small subunit ribosomal RNA
Source: RNAcentral